AGGGGAAGCAUAUGCUAAAGCAAAAUUUAAUGAGGCUCAAUCCCAAUGAUAGUGUCUUUAGCGAAACCUUAGGAAGCCCCUAGAGUUCGUGAUGACCCAAUGAAGGGCCAACCAUAGGGCAAAUCGAGGGAGCCGAGACCCCUUGCUCGACCCUACAUGUAGAUGAAGCCUCGAACCUCUCAAGGCUAGGGGACCAAAGAUGGCUUAGUG
RNAcentral lists this long non-coding RNA (210 nucleotides) under Elaeis guineensis (African oil palm). RNAcentral's name for it is "long non-coding RNA (EGUI_LNC066089)". The record is from RNAcentral. Lineage: Eukaryota; Viridiplantae; Streptophyta; Magnoliopsida; Arecales; Arecaceae.